This 497-nucleotide ribosomal RNA is filed under the name uncultured bacterium. Its description in RNAcentral is "partial 16S ribosomal RNA". It matches the Rfam family "Bacterial small subunit ribosomal RNA", at positions 28 to 507 of the family's 1533-position model. The record is from RNAcentral.
GACGAACGCUGGCGGCGUGCCUAAUACAUGCAAGUUGAGCGCUGAAGGUUGGUACUUGUGCCAACUGGAUGAGCAGCGAACGGGUGAGUAACGCGUGGGGAAUCUGCCUUUGAGCGGGGGACAACAUUUGGAAACGAAUGCUAAUACCGCAUAAAAACUUUAAACACAAGUUUUAAGUUUGAAAGAUGCAAUUGCAUCACUCAAAGAUGAUCCCGCGUUGUAUUAGCUAGUUGGUGAGGUAAAGGCUCACCAAGGCGAUGAUACAUAGCCGACCUGAGAGGGUGAUCGGGCACAAUUGGACUGGGACACGGCCCCAACUCCUACGGGAGGCAGCAGUAGGGGAUCUUCGGCCAUGGACGAAAGUCUGACCGGGCAACGCCGCGUGAGUGAAGAAGGUUUUCGGAUCGGAAAACUCUGUUUGUAGAGAAGAAAGUUGGUGAGAGUGGAAAGCUCAUCAAGUGACGGUACCUAACCAGAAAGCGACGGCUAACUACGUG